GACAAAACCGGGGCUCCACUGGAACUAUGACAGCGAAAAACCGAAAUCAGAACCGCCUUCAAACCAGACUGGGACUGGCCCGUAACUGGCUUGAACUGUUUGCUAAAGGGCCAGUUCCGGUGCAACCCUACCUACGGAACUGGACUGGAAUCAGCCGUGGCCUGGUCUACAUAGUGUCUCUGUAAAUGUCUGGCAUAGGAAAUCCUCGUCAUUUCCUAUUGUUUUCUUUAAAAUUUUUAUGUUGGAAAGUGUAACACCACUGCAUGUUGGGUUUUGAGUCUCUUGACAUGAUAUAAAGAAACUUGUUUGCUUUUUGGAGUUAACAUUUUUAUAUGAUAACAAAAAAUUAAAAGUUGCUGCGAUUUUGGUAAUAUGCAA
Molecule: unclassified non-coding RNA, 378 nt
Filed under: Hevea brasiliensis (rubber tree)
Lineage: Eukaryota; Viridiplantae; Streptophyta; Magnoliopsida; Malpighiales; Euphorbiaceae
Source: RNAcentral